GGUUAAGCGACUAAGCGUACACGGUGGAUGCCCUGGCAGUCAGAGGCGAUGAAGGACGUGCUAAUCUGCGAUAAGCGUCGGUAAGGUGAUAUGAACCGUUAUAACCGGCGAUUUCCGAAUGGGGAAACCCAGUGUGUUUCGACACACUAUCAUUAACUGAAUCCAUAGGUUAAUGAGGCGAACCGGGGGAACUGAAACAUCUAAGUACCCCGAGGAAAAGAAAUCAACCGAGAUUCCCCCAGUAGCGGCGAGCGAACGGGGAGCAGCCCAGAGCCUGAAUCAGUGUGUGUGUUAGUGGAAGCGUCUGGAAAGGCGCGCGAUACAGGGUGACAGCCCCGUACACAAAAAUGCACAUGCUGUGAGCUCGAUGAGUAGGGCGGGACACGUGGUAUCCUGUCUGAAUAUGGGGGGACCAUCCUCCAAGGCUAAAUACUCCUGACUGACCGAUAGUGAACCAGUACCGUGAGGGAAAGGCGAAAAGAACCCCGGCGAGGGGAGUGAAAAAGAACCUGAAACCGUGUACGUACAAGCAGUGGGAGCACGCUUAGGCGUGUGACUGCGUACCUUUUGUAUAAUGGGUCAGCGACUUAUAUUCUGUAGCAAGGUUAACCGAAUAGGGGAGCCGAAGGGAAACCGAGUCUUAACUGGGCGUUAAGUUGCAGGGUAUAGACCCGAAACCCGGUGAUCUAGCCAUGGGCAGGUUGAAGGUUGGGUAACACUAACUGGAGGACCGAACCGACUAAUGUUGAAAAAUUAGCGGAUGACUUGUGGCUGGGGGUGAAAGGCCAAUCAAACCGGGAGAUAGCUGGUUCUCCCCGAAAGCUAUUUAGGUAGCGCCUCGUGAAUUCAUCUCCGGGGGUAGAGCACUGUUUCGGCAAGGGGGUCAUCCCGACUUACCAACCCGAUGCAAACUGCGAAUACCGGAGAAUGUUAUCACGGGAGACACACGGCGGGUGCUAACGUCCGUCGUGAAGAGGGAAACAACCCAGACCGCCAGCUAAGGUCCCAAAGUCAUGGUUAAGUGGGAAACGAUGUGGGAAGGCCCAGACAGCCAGGAUGUUGGCUUAGAAGCAGCCAUCAUUUAAAGAAAGCGUAAUAGCUCACUGGUCGAGUCGGCCUGCGCGGAAGAUGUAACGGGGCUAAACCAUGCACCGAAGCUGCGGCAGCGACGCUGAUGCGUUGUUGGGUAGGGGAGCGUUCUGUAAGCCUGUGAAGGUGUGCUGUGAGGCAUGCUGGAGGUAUCAGAAGUGCGAAUGCUGACAUAAGUAACGAUAAAGCGGGUGAAAAGCCCGCUCGCCGGAAGACCAAGGGUUCCUGUCCAACGUUAAUCGGGGCAGGGUGAGUCGACCCCUAAGGCGAGGCCGAAAGGCGUAGUCGAUGGGAAACAGGUUAAUAUUCCUGUACUUGGUGUUACUGCGAAGGGGGGACGGAGAAGGCUAUGUUGGCCGGGCGACGGUUGUCCCGGUUUAAGCGUGUAGGCUGGUUUUCCAGGCAAAUCCGGAAAAUCAAGGCUGAGGCGUGAUGACGAGGCACUACGGUGCUGAAGCAACAAAUGCCCUGCUUCCAGGAAAAGCCUCUAAGCAUCAGGUAACAUCAAAUCGUACCCCAAACCGACACAGGUGGUCAGGUAGAGAAUACCAAGGCGCUUGAGAGAACUCGGGUGAAGGAACUAGGCAAAAUGGUGCCGUAACUUCGGGAGAAGGCACGCUGAUAUGUAGGUGAAGCGACUUGCUCGUGGAGCUGAAAUCAGUCGAAGAUACCAGCUGGCUGCAACUGUUUAUUAAAAACACAGCACUGUGCAAACACGAAAGUGGACGUAUACGGUGUGACGCCUGCCCGGUGCCGGAAGGUUAAUUGAUGGGGUCAGCGCAAGCGAAGCUCUUGAUCGAAGCCCCGGUAAACGGCGGCCGUAACUAUAACGGUCCUAAGGUAGCGAAAUUCCUUGUCGGGUAAGUUCCGACCUGCACGAAUGGCGUAAUGAUGGCCAGGCUGUCUCCACCCGAGACUCAGUGAAAUUGAACUCGCUGUGAAGAUGCAGUGUACCCGCGGCAAGACGGAAAGACCCCGUGAACCUUUACUAUAGCUUGACACUGAACAUUGAGCCUUGAUGUGUAGGAUAGGUGGGAGGCUUUGAAGUGUGGACGCCAGUCUGCAUGGAGCCGACCUUGAAAUACCACCCUUUAAUGUUUGAUGUUCUAACGUUGACCCGUGAUCCGGGUUGCGGACAGUGUCUGGUGGGUAGUUUGACUGGGGCGGUCUCCUCCUAAAGAGUAACGGAGGAGCACGAAGGUUGGCUAAUCCUGGUCGGACAUCAGGAGGUUAGUGCAAUGGCAUAAGCCAGCUUGACUGCGAGCGUGACGGCGCGAGCAGGUGCGAAAGCAGGUCAUAGUGAUCCGGUGGUUCUGAAUGGAAGGGCCAUCGCUCAACGGAUAAAAGGUACUCCGGGGAUAACAGGCUGAUACCGCCCAAGAGUUCAUAUCGACGGCGGUGUUUGGCACCUCGAUGUCGGCUCAUCACAUCCUGGGGCUGAAGUAGGUCCCAAGGGUAUGGCUGUUCGCCAUUUAAAGUGGUACGCGAGCUGGGUUUAGAACGUCGUGAGACAGUUCGGUCCCUAUCUGCCGUGGGCGCUGGAGAACUGAGGGGGGCUGCUCCUAGUACGAGAGGACCGGAGUGGACGCAUCACUGGUGUUCGGGUUGUCAUGCCAAUGGCACUGCCCGGUAGCUAAAUGCGGAAGAGAUAAGUGCUGAAAGCAUCUAAGCACGAAACUUGCCCCGAGAUGAGUUCUCCCUGACUCCUUGAGAGUCCUGAAGGAACGUUGAAGACGACGACGUUGAUAGGCCGGGUGUGUAAGCGCAGCGAUGCGUUGAGCUAACCGGUACUAAUGAACCGUGAGGCUUAACCUUAC
RNAcentral lists this ribosomal RNA (2906 nucleotides) under Escherichia coli O104:H4 str. 2011C-3493. Its description in RNAcentral is "bacterial LSU rRNA". It matches the Rfam family "Bacterial large subunit ribosomal RNA". Lineage: Bacteria; Pseudomonadati; Pseudomonadota; Gammaproteobacteria; Enterobacterales; Enterobacteriaceae. The record is from RNAcentral.